This 377-nucleotide long non-coding RNA is filed under the name Mytilus galloprovincialis (Mediterranean mussel). Lineage: Eukaryota; Metazoa; Mollusca; Bivalvia; Mytilida; Mytilidae. The record is from RNAcentral.
UUUGGUGAUGGUGAUGUGUUUGUAGAUCUUACUUUACUAAACAUUCUUGCUGCUUACAAUUAUCUCUAUCUAUAACAGUACUUUCUGUGGAAAAUGUUAUCGAAAAUCUUCAAAUUUUAAGAAAAUUGUUAAAAAUUGACUAUGAAGGGCAAUAACUCCUUAGGGGGGUCAAUUGACUAUUUUGGUCAUAGUGACUUAUUUUUAGUUCUUACUUUGCUGUACAUUAUUGCUGUUUACAGUUUAUCUCUAUCUAUAAUAAUAUUCAAGAUAAUAACAAAAAAAAAAAACAGCAAAAUUUCUUCAAAAUUACCAAUUCAGGGGCAGCAACCUAACAACCGAUUAUCCGAUUCAUCUGAAAAUUCCAGGGCAGAUAGAUC